This 1171-nucleotide ribosomal RNA is filed under the name Bacillus pumilus. RNAcentral describes it as "bacterial SSU rRNA". It matches the Rfam family "Bacterial small subunit ribosomal RNA", at positions 161 to 1319 of the family's 1533-position model. Lineage: Bacteria; Bacillati; Bacillota; Bacilli; Caryophanales; Bacillaceae. The record is from RNAcentral.
AGCUAAUACCGGAUAGUUCCUUGAACCGCAUGGUUCAAGGAUGAAAGACGGUUUCGGCUGUCACUUACAGAUGGACCCGCGGCGCAUUAGCUAGUUGGUGGGGUAAUGGCUCACCAAGGCGACGAUGCGUAGCCGACCUGAGAGGGUGAUCGGCCACACUGGGACUGAGACACGGCCCAGACUCCUACGGGAGGCAGCAGUAGGGAAUCUUCCGCAAUGGACGAAAGUCUGACGGAGCAACGCCGCGUGAGUGAUGAAGGUUUUCGGAUCGUAAAGCUCUGUUGUUAGGGAAGAACAAGUGCGAGAGUAACUGCUCGCACCUUGACGGUACCUAACCAGAAAGCCACGGCUAACUACGUGCCAGCAGCCGCGGUAAUACGUAGGUGGCAAGCGUUGUCCGGAAUUAUUGGGCGUAAAGGGCUCGCAGGCGGUUUCUUAAGUCUGAUGUGAAAGCCCCCGGCUCAACCGGGGAGGGUCAUUGGAAACUGGGAAACUUGAGUGCAGAAGAGGAGAGUGGAAUUCCACGUGUAGCGGUGAAAUGCGUAGAGAUGUGGAGGAACACCAGUGGCGAAGGCGACUCUCUGGUCUGUAACUGACGCUGAGGAGCGAAAGCGUGGGGAGCGAACAGGAUUAGAUACCCUGGUAGUCCACGCCGUAAACGAUGAGUGCUAAGUGUUAGGGGGUUUCCGCCCCUUAGUGCUGCAGCUAACGCAUUAAGCACUCCGCCUGGGGAGUACGGUCGCAAGACUGAAACUCAAAGGAAUUGACGGGGGCCCGCACAAGCGGUGGAGCAUGUGGUUUAAUUCGAAGCAACGCGAAGAACCUUACCAGGUCUUGACAUCCUCUGACAACCCUAGAGAUAGGGCUUUCCCUUCGGGGACAGAGUGACAGGUGGUGCAUGGUUGUCGUCAGCUCGUGUCGUGAGAUGUUGGGUUAAGUCCCGCAACGAGCGCAACCCUUGAUCUUAGUUGCCAGCAUUCAGUUGGGCACUCUAAGGUGACUGCCGGUGACAAACCGGAGGAAGGUGGGGAUGACGUCAAAUCAUCAUGCCCCUUAUGACCUGGGCUACACACGUGCUACAAUGGACAGAACAAAGGGCUGCAAGACCGCAAGGUUUAGCCAAUCCCAUAAAUCUGUUCUCAGUUCGGAUCGCAGUCUGCAACUCGACUGC